This 999-nucleotide long non-coding RNA is filed under the name Daucus carota (carrot). RNAcentral's name for it is "long non-coding RNA (DCAR_LNC001433)". The record is from RNAcentral. Lineage: Eukaryota; Viridiplantae; Streptophyta; Magnoliopsida; Apiales; Apiaceae.
ACUCAGAGAAUCCAUCUAAAAUUUCGCCGCAAAAUCUGUGUAAACUUGUGCGCGUAUAUGUGUGUUUGUGUGUGUAUAGUAUAGAUAUAGGUGCGAAGGUGUGUGCGUAUAGUGCGGAAAUGGAGGAAGAAAAGGCGGAGAAGGAAACUGUAGGUAGGUACGCUUUCCUUAGAUUUUUUUGUGUUAAUUGGAUUUUAGUGGUUCCUAUUUUUCUCUCACUCAUAUUAAACUCCAUAUAUUUUGUUUAAUAAAAUGUUGAUAAUCUUUAUUAGAAAAAUGUAUAAAAAUAUUUAUGUAAAAACCUGUAAUAUUAUUAAUAAAUAUUUUUUGAUAUCCGCAAUUUCUGCGUGUAUAAGAUACAGGAUACAAACCUCACAUUCACCAUAAUUUGCAGUAUAUAAUCAAGAUUCCAGGCAUACACUGUUUUUUGUUUUUUUUAAAGAAAUGGUNUCCGCAUAUCAUACGCACGAGACGACACCUGCUUCACGAACUCAUCCGAAGUACUCGGAAUCGUGCCGUCCAAUUGAAGAGCUUUCUUCACCUCCUCAUCCUCCUCAUCAUCAUUUUUAUCUUCAUCUUUUUCUCUAUCAACAUCUCCUUGGUUGCUCAAUUUACACCAAACUUCCACUCUUCUCCUUCUCCGAUGUUUCGAUAAACACUGAAACCGGCGAUCGCUGUAACUAGAGAUAGCUCCGGGGAUGGAACUAAUUCGCCGCCGGUGAUGAUGAUGAUUUGCCGCCAGAAAAACGAUCGACGGUGCCACUGAAGCACUCAGAGAAUCCAUCUAAAAUUUCGCCGCAAAAUCUGUGUAAACUUGUGCGCGUAUAUGUGUGUUUGUGUGUGUAUAGUAUAGAUAUAGGUGCGAAGGUGUGUGCGUAUAGUGCGGAAAUGGAGGAAGAAAAGGCGGAGAAGGAAACUGUAGGUAGGUACGCUUUCCUUAGAUUUUUUUGUGUUAAUUGGAUUUUAGUGGUUCCUAUUUUUCUCUCACUCAUAUUAAAC